This 365-nucleotide long non-coding RNA is filed under the name Hordeum vulgare. Its description in RNAcentral is "long non-coding RNA (HVUL_LNC009573)". The record is from RNAcentral. Lineage: Eukaryota; Viridiplantae; Streptophyta; Magnoliopsida; Poales; Poaceae.
UAUAGGCUGUGAACUAACCAUCCAACAGGGCCCGUCUCUCCAACGGAAACUUGCUGCCACUUAAAUCUGCAUCGCUGCGGCCGCCUCGACGAGCUGGAACCGGGUGACGAGCGGGAGCGCCUCCGUCUGCAUCGCUGCAACCAGACCAGACCCCCACACAGUGAGCAAGCAAGCAAGCAUAGCGCCAGGAGCGGCAGGGAGGGAAAAGCGCACGCACCUAUGACGACGAGGACCUUGGAGAUGGCGCCGGCUGCGGAGGCCUCGGCGGAGGCGGCAGCCGGCUCUUCGGAGGACGGCGGCGCCAUGGCCGGAGGGGCGGGGCUUCGGCGGAGGGCCGGCCAGCGGCGACGGAGGGGAGGCCGGGG